GGGCCUUGUGUCUGCACCUGCAUAUUCCUAAACCUUCUCAGCGUCUUUGGACUGUGACUGAGGAGACAAACCAUGCAGGAAACAGUGCUAUUUUACUGCCCCAGAGUAUUGUUACAUAUAGUUUGAGGCUGGGAUAGGACUAAAUUAUUUAUUGUUUUUCAGAACCUUCUUCACCUGCAGUUUUCUUUCUAGACCAGAGGUGAGAGGAUUUUAGAGCAUGUCUCAACAGCUCGUGGUGUUACUUGUGAGUGAGAUAUAACCUCUGUGAAGACUUCUCAGGAUGAUGAUAAAGAGACUGUCUCGAAAGUAGAGAUAGGCUCUGAGAGAACGAACAGGCCCUAAGCUUCAGUGUCUUAGAAAUUACCUAAAUUUAUGGGGAUCUGGGCCGCCCCCGCCCCCAUUGCCACACCACUGCCACAUCAGCAUUAGGUUUGCUGAAUAAGGACAUGUAUGUUUGGAUUGGCUAUACCAAUUUUCGAGCCUAGAUUGUAAGCCCACCUCCCAGCCAAGGGGAAGAAGGGAUAGAGGUGGGUAGGGGUUUGUUUAUGUUAGGGUAUAUUAUCUCCUUUUGCUUUCUGUGCCUUGCCUCUCUCCUGCUGGUAGUGCACUGUGCACCAGAGGAGUAGAUGCCCCUUCUCUGGAUUGUGAUAGAGUGUGACUUUUGCUUCUACCUUCAGAGGUCUCUGAGUUUAAUUGGGUGAGGGUCACUGUCCCACAAACUUGGGAUCAAGUGGUCAUGCAUAUGUGAUUUUAUUGACCCAAGGUUGAUACCUUUUUAAAUUUUGUGGUUUUAAAAAAUGGAUAUUUCUCCAGUGAAACAUGCAAAAGUUAUAGCUCUUAAAGAGCACACUUCAGUGACUGUUCGGGAUAUUGCAGCAGUUCUUGGUAUGGGUAAGUCAAGUGUUUCAAGGAUCAUUCAAGUGCACAAUGAAACUGGAUCAGUCUCCCCAAAGUGCAAAGGUAAGUGUGAUAGGAAAAGGAAAACAACACCAAGCAUUGACAACCUUUUGCUGCAAAAUAGCCUAAUUAAUCCUGAAAACAAGCCAGACCUUCAGAGGGACCUGGCCACUGGAGGAGUUGUCACUGAUUUUUCAACAGUGCGUUGUAGGCUCCUUGAGAUUGGCAGAUCAUCCAGAAUACCAGUAAGAAAGCAGCUGUUAACCACAGCUGUGUGGGCAUGACAAUACAAAGACUGGAGUGUUAAAAAUUGGAAAAAGGUCAUUUUUAAUGAUAAAACUCACUUUUUCAUUCAAGUUUAUGUGGAAAUGUUUUGGGGUUUUUUCACUUGCAGUGGGCCUGGAAGUCUUGUCUCCAUUGAGGGACCAAUGAACUCUGAUAAAUAUAUUGAAAUAUUGAAAAGCACAGUUACUCCAGAAUUGCAGAAAAUCUCAGAUGGAGAUGGAGUGGUGAAAUACUGUCUUGCAUCAUGCUGCAUCUCCCAAAAAGUUAAUAAAUUUAUCCAUGAGAUGGAGAUAAACAUGCUUCAGUGGCUUGGGAACUCACCUGGUUUAAACCCCAUUGAAAACCUGUGGGAUAGAAUCAAAGCUGGACUUUGGAUUUCUCCAAUGGACUGCUCAUCAAAGGCACAUUUGAUAGCCAAUGUGAAAAAAGUAUGGUUUCAUGAUGAAUUACAGAAUGUGUUAAAAUCUUGUCAAUUCCAUGCCAAAUAGUGUAACGCAAGUGAUUGCAGCGAAAGGAGGACAUGUUAUUGAAAGUUGCAUGUUAGAUAUGUGAAAACUUGUAAGGUUUUGUGUAUACAUUCAAUAAAUUCUGUAAUUUUACUUGUC
Long non-coding RNA from Vombatus ursinus (common wombat), 1787 nucleotides. RefSeq lists it as uncharacterized. The record is from RefSeq and is a predicted model, not a curated record. Lineage: Eukaryota; Metazoa; Chordata; Mammalia; Diprotodontia; Vombatidae. The transcript is spliced from 2 exons.